Molecule: ribosomal RNA, 521 nt
Filed under: uncultured bacterium
Lineage: Bacteria
Description: bacterial SSU rRNA
Rfam family: Bacterial small subunit ribosomal RNA
Source: RNAcentral
GCAGCAGUGGGGAAUUUUGGACAAUGGGGGCAACCCUGAUCCAGCCAUUCCGCGUGAGUGAAGAAGGCCUUCGGGUUGUAAAGCUCUUUCGGCAGGAACGAAACGGUGGAGGCKAAUAHCCUUCAUCAAUGACGGUACCUGAAGAAGAAGCACCGGCUAACUACGUGCCAGCAGCCGCGGUAAUACGUAGGGUGCGAGCGUUAAUCGGAAUUACUGGGCGUAAAGCGUGCGCAGGUGGUUUYGUAAGACAGAUGUGAAAUCCCCGGGCUUAACCUGGGAACUGCGUUUGUGACUGCGAGACUCGAGUGYGGCAGAGGGGGGUGGAAUUCCACGUGUAGCAGUGAAAUGCGUAGAGAUGUGGAGGAACACCGAUGGCGAAGGCAGCCCCCUGGGUYGACACUGACGCUCAUGCACGAAAGCGUGGGUAGCAAACAGGAUUAGAUACCCUGGUAGUCCACGCCCUAAACGAUGCSAACUAGGUGUUGGAGAAGGAGACUUCUUUAGUACCGUAGCUAACGCGU